AUGGCCGACCCGACGCCGACGCGUGCGGGCACCAGAACCAGCGGCAUGGCCGCGAGGAGCGGUGUAAUGUUCGACACCGCGGUCGCCUCGACGCCGGCCUCCGCCAGGGAGAUGCUGGCCGGCGGCGUCGCGGGCGUGCUGGCCAAGACGGCCGUGGCCUCGCUCGGCCGCGUGAAGCUCCUCCGCCGAACGGGCGGCGAACCCGGGGGCGUCGGCGCCGUCCGGACGCUCGUCGGGAUCUACCGCCGGGAAGGUGUCGCGGGGCUCUACCGCGGCAACGGCGCCAACGCGCUGCGCGUGUUCCCGUCCAAGGCGCUGCACUUCGCCGCCUACGAGCGGUACAGGGGCUGGCUCCUCGCCGCCACGGCCGCCCCGUCGUCGUCGGCCGUGGACCUCCUCGCCGGCUCGGCCGCCGGCGGCACCGCGCUGCUCGCGACGUACCCGCUCGACCUCGCCCGCGCGCGGCUCGCCUCGGGCGACGGCGCGUGCACGAGCGUGCACGGCGUCCUCCGGGCCGCGUACGCGGAGGGUGGCGGCGUGCGCGGGCUGUACCGCGGCGCGUGCCCGGCGCUGGCGCGCGCGCUGCCCAGGGCAGGGAUCAAGUUCGGCGCGUACGAGUGGCUCAAGCGGCGGCUCCCCGAGGGGUACGACGGGCGCGCGGACGCGCAGCUGGCGUGCGGGGUGGCAGCGGCGCAGCUGGCCAGCACGGCGACGUACCCGCUGGGCGUGGUGCGGCGACGGAUGCAGCUCGGACUGGCAACCGGUGGCGUGCUGCAGGGCAUCCGUGCCAUCGCGCGGGAGGAGGGCGUGCGGCGGCUGUACGCCGGGCUGGGGAUCGCGUACGUCAAGGCGGUGCCGGCGGCGGCCAUUGGGCUGGUGGCUUACGACCAGAUGAAGCUUCUCUAG
This 906-nucleotide ribosomal RNA is filed under the name Triticum aestivum (bread wheat). Its description in RNAcentral is "partial small subunit ribosomal RNA". The record is from RNAcentral. Lineage: Eukaryota; Viridiplantae; Streptophyta; Magnoliopsida; Poales; Poaceae.